GAUGAACGCUGGCGGCGUGCCUAAUACAUGCAAGUCGAGCGAACAGACGAGGCUCUUGCUCCUCUGACGUUAGCGGCGGACGGGUGAGUAACACGUGGAUAACCUACCUAUAAGACUGAGAUAACUUCGGGAAACCGGAGCUAAUACCGGAUAAUAUACUGAACCGCAUGGUUCAAUAGUGAAAGACGGUUUUGCUGUCACUUAUAGAUGGAUCUGCGCCGCUUUAGCUAGUAGGUAAGGUAACGGCUUACCAAGGCGACGAUGCGUAGCCGACGUGAGAGGGUGGUCGGCCACACGGGAACUGGAACGCGGUCCAGACUACUACGGGAGGCAGCAGAAGGGAAUGGUAGGCAAUGGGCGAAAGCCUUGCGGAACAACGCCGCGUGAGUGGUAACGGUCUUCGGAUCGGAAAACUCUGUUAUUAGGGAAGAACAAAUGUGUAAGUAACUAUGCACGGCUUGACGGUACUGAAUCAAAAAGCCACGGCUAACUACGUG
This 497-nucleotide ribosomal RNA is filed under the name uncultured bacterium. Its description in RNAcentral is "partial 16S ribosomal RNA". It matches the Rfam family "Bacterial small subunit ribosomal RNA", at positions 28 to 507 of the family's 1533-position model. The record is from RNAcentral.